CAGGAGGUUUGUCCUCGCCAUAGACGAGAGCUGGCGAGAGGGGCUCGCGUUGCACAGUGGGGGUUGUAGUUCAUCUCCUGGGCGAGCCUCCAAUGGAGACCAAUAGCGAACUACAAGACCCAGAUAUCGUCAGAUUCUGCCCUCCCUCUCUUCCAGCUUCUGGCCCUAGCUAGUGGGUAUUGUGCCCUCUGCUGUUGAACUCUGUGUCCUGUGAACGUUUUUCAUUAACUCGCUUCUCUACCGUUUGCCAGAUGAGUUUUAUUUUCCUGGCUAAUUGAGAUUGAGAGCUUUCAGGGACUCUAAACUCUAGGGGUGAGGAGGCGAGAAAGAGAGUUUGGGAUUCCUAUAUCAUACCAAAGCAUUUUCUGGUUUGUCCAUGACUACAGUAGAAAAGUAUUCUCUAGAUUAUGAUGCCACGGAGUCUUCAGUCUGAGGAAGCAGCUAGGUGUUCUCAAGUUUGCUCCAUGGUGCAGAGAUUAGAGGAGAUUUCAUCAGUCCCUGGAGAUCUCACUGCUUCCCUUCUGCCUCCGACCACAGCUCAGGACUCCUUCUGCUGAUGAUAAAGUACUGUGAGCCUUGGGAGGAUCACUCAUGAUUCUCGGGAUCAGAGGUCCAAAGGCAAGACACAAGCAGUUCCUGGUGACCAUUAGCAUUGCUUGGUUUGUAGCCCCAGUGUUUCCACUUCUCCCUUCUGUGUCUGUCAUCGAAGGCCUUCCCUGACUGCUUCAGGGAGACACAUGGAGUCUUUAAGGACAGUAGUCACUACAUCAGGUCCUGCCCUAAUCUUUUCUGAUUUGGGUCAUUUGCAAAGACUGAGGUUCUGUUUAGAAAUGAAUUGGAGAGAAACACUGAGCCGGUGUAAUAACUGCUCUGGGCCACUCUUCAGGAACAUCAAUCUGAAUAAAAACUUUAAUAUUUCUAGCAUGUUCAUUUAGUGUUCGGGUUGUGGGAGCAGGUGACAUUCUCAAUGAAUGUGUAUUGUUGACAUGAGCAUAGCCACCCGGGG
Rattus norvegicus (Norway rat) is the source of this 1006-nucleotide long non-coding RNA. NCBI's taxonomy places the organism in Eukaryota, Metazoa, Chordata, Mammalia, Rodentia, Muridae. The record is from Ensembl.